Molecule: ribosomal RNA, 250 nt
Filed under: uncultured prokaryote
Description: partial 16S ribosomal RNA
Rfam family: Bacterial small subunit ribosomal RNA
Source: RNAcentral
UACGUAGGGGGCAAGCGUUAUCCGGGAUUAUUGGGCGUAAAGAGUACGUAGGCGGGAGAUUAAGCGCAGGGUUUAAGGCAAUGGCUUAACCACUGUAUGCCCUGUGAACUGAUCUUCUUGAGUGCAGGAGGGGAAAGCGGGAUUCCUAGUGUAGCGGUGAAAUGCGUAGAUAUUAGGAGGAACACCAGUGGCGAAGGCGGCUUUCUGGACUGUAACUGACGCUGAGGUACGAAAGUGUGGGGAGCGAACA